This 636-nucleotide ribosomal RNA is filed under the name Salmonella enterica subsp. enterica. RNAcentral describes it as "partial 23S ribosomal RNA". It matches the Rfam family "Bacterial large subunit ribosomal RNA", at positions 711 to 1262 of the family's 2925-position model. Lineage: Bacteria; Pseudomonadati; Pseudomonadota; Gammaproteobacteria; Enterobacterales; Enterobacteriaceae. The record is from RNAcentral.
AGACCCGAAACCCGGUGAUCUAGCCAUGGGCAGGUUGAAGGUUGGGUAACACUAACUGGAGGACCGAACCGACUAAUGUUGAAAAAUUAGCGGAUGACCUGUGGCUGGGGGUGAAAGGCCAAUCAAACCGGGAGAUAGCUGGUUCUCCCCGAAAGCUAUUUAGGUAGCGCCUCGUGAAUUCAUCUCCGGGGGUAGAGCACUGUUUCGGCUAGGGGGCCAUCCCGGCUUACCAACCCGAUGCAAACUGCGAAUACCGGAGAAUGUUAUCACGGGAGACACACGGCGGGUGCUAACGUCCGUCGUGAAGAGGGAAACAACCCAGACCGCCAGCUAAGGUCCCAAAGUCAUGGUUAAGUGGGAAACGAUGUGGGAAGGCCCAGACAGCCAGGAUGUUGGCUUAGAAGCAGCCAUCAUUUAAAGAAAGCGUAAUAGCUCACUGGUCGAGUCGGCCUGCGCGGAAGAUGUAACGGGGCUAAACCAUGCACCGAAGCUGCGGCAGCGAACGUAUCACUUAAAGCGAUUCAGCGGGUUACGAUUGACGGAGCGAAGCGACGUCAAAGCGUAUACAAAGUCGAGUCGGUUUAAGGAUACGUUCGUUGGGUAGGGGAGCGUUCUGUAAGCCUGCGAAGGUGGCCU